Molecule: long non-coding RNA, 362 nt
Organism: Centrocercus urophasianus (Greater sage-grouse)
Lineage: Eukaryota; Metazoa; Chordata; Aves; Galliformes; Phasianidae
Exons: 3
Source: RefSeq, a predicted model, not a curated record
UCUCCUGGAAGCCCAGGGAGGAGAGAAUUGCAGUGAGUGUGCUCUGCAGAGGCAAGCCUUUGUUAGGAGUACGCUGCUGGCAGCAGAGCAUCCUGGACUUCCCUUGAAUGGGGCAACGUGCGGCCUCAGUGUGCUGCCUCCAAUAACAGGGAGUUUAAAAAGCUCUUACAGAAAUGUCCUCCAUUGCUCGCAGCCCUGGAGCAAGGAUGCAGAGAGCAGGCUCAUGAAAGCUGUGGCUGACAUGAAACAGAGGGAAGGCACUCAAGUGACCCAGGGAGCUGUAAAGCACUUAACUUUGGAGCCAUCCUCCGUUGUUUCUAUAUGACUACGUGACCAAAAGCAGAGUGGACGGAUGACAGGGG